This 1380-nucleotide long non-coding RNA is filed under the name Oreochromis niloticus (Nile tilapia). Its description in RNAcentral is "lncRNA (ENSONIG00000031067.1)". The record is from RNAcentral. Lineage: Eukaryota; Metazoa; Chordata; Actinopteri; Cichliformes; Cichlidae.
AUGAGAGCUGUCGGUGUUUUGCUGUGCUUUUCUGUGUUUACGGGAGUCUUCAUGGAGGAUAAAGAAGCCCCACGUUUUCAAGCAUGUCUCGGGCUUGAGGUGUAUGAGGGGGCGGAGUCUGUCAUGCUGCCCUGUCAGGUACCAGAGGAUGUUUACUGGGACGCCACUGCAGUGGUUUGGGAUCGCAAGGACCUCAGCAUCCCAACAGUCCAUCUGCGUCUGCAGAGCGGGGAUGAUCUCACGAAACAGAAUGUUAUUUACUUCAACCGAACAUCGAUGAGAGCCGACGCUCUGCAGACUGGAGACCUCAGCCUCACUCUGAGGAACCCCAUAGUCAAUGACACCGGCACCUACACCUGCACCACCCGAAGAUAUGGACAAGAUCAGAGCAAGACCCAUUUGCAACUGAAGGUGGCAGAACGUCCUCCUCCUGGUCCCACUCCUCCUCCAGUCUGGCCCAAAGUUGUCUCGGGUGUCCUGGUUCCUGUGGUUCUCCUGGCUGUUGGCUUUGGUGUCUUCAUGUAUUUUAGAUAUAAAAAGUUAAAGAACAAAGAAGUCGUUCAGGUCACAGCAGAACCAGGUGAUGAGUCCGUUGUGCUGUCCUGCAGAAGCACAGUUCAGCCCCUGCCUGAUGGUGCUAAAGUGGAGUGGAAGGACAGAAAUGAGAGGAAGGUCCACAUAUAUCAGAAAGACUCUGAGCAGGCUGAAAAACCGCACAGACGUUACAGAAACCGAACAGAGAUGAAGAAAGACCCACAGAAGACUGGAGACCUCAGUCUGACCCUGAAAUACCCCACAAACACAGACAGAGACACCUACACCUGCACCGUCUACAACGGGGAGGGAAAAGAACUAAUGGAGAAACAGGUGGAGCUGAAAAUCAAAGAGUGUCAGGUGGAGGUGGUGGAGGGGGUGGAGUCUGUCCUGCUGCCCUUCAAAACCACAGAAAACCUGCCUGAGGACAGUGAUGUGGAGUGGAAACGGCAUGAACCCGAAUACAUGAAGGUCUAUGUGUAUGAGAACGGCUCUGAUCGGCCCGACAAACAGGACGACCAUUACAGAGGUCGCACUGAGAUGAAGAAAGACCUGCUGAACACUGGAGACCUCAGUCUGACCCUGGGACACCCCACAGUGGGAGAUAGUGGGAGAUACGCCUGUGAGGUCAACAGCAAGGGAGCCUGGAGAUACAAGAGGGUGUGGCUCACAGUUAAAGGGAGAGAUCAGGUCCAGGAUCAAGCCGAGGACAACAACACUAUUGAAAUGACUCCUCUGAUGGACCAACAAUCAGCUUAAUCUGACUGGUCUGUGAGUCAGAGAGAAAACGCCAGUAAUGGACUGAAGGGGAUGAAGAGGGAACGAUGCUGAGUUCCUCCACGUUCU